UUGAUGAGAAAGUGGGCAGAUCGGCUCUAUUCACAGCUGGGGGAAACUGACCACUUUAACAAAAGGAAGAAUGCUCAGGUAACAUCUAGCCCAAAGGUCGCUCAGGAAUGUUCAAAGCACUCAGGAGAGAGUGAAGUAUCCCAUCUUUGGGACACACAAGUCCCACUCAGCAUCCAUUGAAAGCGCAGCACCAAAAGCAUUGAGAUGGUGGCAGGACCUCAUUUUCCCUCUUCUCUAUUCCCUUACUCUUUCUCCAGCACAGAAGAAGCCUUGAUCUGCUUAGAAGCACUCCCCAGCAUCUGAACCAUCUCUUCCAAGCUAUUCCCCCAGAAGACAGGAAGACUGGGCGGUUUCCUCUGUAACAGCUCCCAGAACUGCAGCUUCCAGUGGUUUCUCCCCACCAUUGCCCCUCUUGGUUUGCUGGUAGAGUGCUGAGCCUUUUAUUCUAUGUCUUUGCCAAAGGUUUUGAACAACCUUUCUCAAACAGGAGCUAAUAAGAUUC
RNAcentral lists this long non-coding RNA (502 nucleotides) under Homo sapiens (human). Its description in RNAcentral is "non-protein coding lnc-GOLGA7-3:2". Lineage: Eukaryota; Metazoa; Chordata; Mammalia; Primates; Hominidae. The record is from RNAcentral.